GGGGCUGUGGCUCAGUGGUAGAGCACUUGCCUAGCAUGUGUGAGACACUGGGUUCGAUCCUCAGCACCA
This 69-nucleotide transfer RNA is filed under the name Ictidomys tridecemlineatus (thirteen-lined ground squirrel). RNAcentral describes it as "Spermophilus tridecemlineatus (thirteen-lined ground squirrel) tRNA". It matches the Rfam family "tRNA". Rfam says of the family: Transfer RNA (tRNA) molecules are approximately 80 nucleotides in length. Their secondary structure includes four short double-helical elements and three loops (D, anti-codon, and T loops). The record is from Rfam by way of RNAcentral. RNAcentral also lists the same sequence under 1 other name. Lineage: Eukaryota; Metazoa; Chordata; Mammalia; Rodentia; Sciuridae.